AAAAGAAAAAGCAGAAUGGAAUCUCUGUUUAUUCUCAACGUAUCAGUUGUGCCUCUCUUCAAUUUGAAACUCUCACUAUUGGCUAUAUUUGGGGGUGCCCUAUUUCCCAUCUCAUAACUUAUUUCAAGAAUCACAGCAUAAUAAUGUGUGAGCUUGGGAUUCAGUUUUUGAAACAAAACACUGAGCCUUCAAUGACCUUCCUGUACAUGUAAAAGCACACCUGUCUGCAUGGCAGCAGUUGGACCUCACAAUGUGGAUUGUGCCUUCACCCUGGAAUGUCUAUGAUGCCCUAUCGACCAUGGUGAUUG
Molecule: long non-coding RNA, 308 nt
Filed under: Homo sapiens (human)
Lineage: Eukaryota; Metazoa; Chordata; Mammalia; Primates; Hominidae
Description: HSALNT0275188
Source: RNAcentral